RNAcentral lists this unclassified non-coding RNA (250 nucleotides) under Hevea brasiliensis (rubber tree). Lineage: Eukaryota; Viridiplantae; Streptophyta; Magnoliopsida; Malpighiales; Euphorbiaceae. The record is from RNAcentral.
CUUCAUAGAAAAAUAAAUAAAUGAAAUAAGAUAAAAAUUGUUCGAUUCAAAUUAAAAUUGGAAUGUUAAAAAUGGAUCUGAAUACAAAAACAAGCCAACCUCUAGUGUUAAAACCUUCAUUGAGCUAGAUUAUAUUUAAUGCUGAUGGGAGUAUAACUUGAAUAAUGGCACGGAUGGAAGAAAUGCUCCCCCAUGGAAAAGUUAGUAACUCGGCAUCUAAUCCUAGCAGGAGGGGUGGCAAUGUGCAGAG